GUGAACAACCAAGGGCGCGCGGUGGAUGCCUAGGCUCUCGGAGGCGAUGAAGGACGCGAUAAGCCGCGAUAGGCCACGGCGAGGUGCAAGUAACCCUUGACCCGUGGAUUUCCGAAUGGGGCAACCCGGCCGUCUAGAUGACGGUCAUACCGUAAGGUAAGCGAACGCGGGGAACUGAAACAUCUCAUUACCCGCAGGAGAAGAAAACAAAUAGUGAUUCCCCCAGUAGUGGCGAGCGAACGGGGAAGAGCCCAAACCGCUGCCGUUUCGGCGACAGCGGGGUCAUGGGACCGCGACAUUCGACGUGAGACGAAGUGCAAUUACCUGGAAAGGUAAGCCGUGGAGGGUGACAGCCCCGUGCACGACACCUCUUUCGAAGAUAGCGGAAUCCCGAGUAGGGCGGGACACGAGAAAUCCUGUCUGAAUUCGCCAGGACCGCCUGGCAAGGCUAAAUACUCCCGAGAGACCGAUAGUGAACCAGUACCGCGAGGGAAAGGUGAAAAGUACCCCGAGCAGGGGGGUGAAAUAGACCCUGAACCCGCGCGCCUACAAGCGGUCGGAGCCAUGAAAUAUGGUGACGGCGUGCCUUUUGCAUAAUGAGCCUACGAGUUAGUCGUCACCAGCGAGGUUAAGGGCUUCAGGCCCGUUAGCCGAAGUGAAAGCGAGCCUUAACAGGGCGUCGAGUUGGUGGCGCUAGACGCGAAACCUUGUGAUCUACCCACGAGCAGGUUGAAGUCGCGGUAACACGUGAUGGAGGACCGAACCGGUAAACGUUGAAAAGUUUUCGGAUGACUCGCGGGUAGGGGUGAAAGGCCAAUCAAACUGGGAAAUAGCUCGUACUCUCCGAAAUGCAUUUCGGUGCAGCCUGUGAUGUUCUGUUCCAGAGGUAGAGCUACUGGUUGGACGCGAGGGCUUCACCGCCUAUCAAAUCCGGAUAAACUCCGAAUGCUGGAACACGAAAUCAUGGAGUGAGCCCGCGGGUGCUAAGGUCCGCGGACGAGAGGGAAAGAACCCGGACCACCGGCUAAGGUCCCGGAUGGACAGUUAAGUUGAUCAAACGAGGUGGGAUCGCGGAGACAGCUAGGAUGUUGGCUUGGAAGCAGCCAUUCAUUUAAAGAGUGCGUAACAGCUCACUAGUCGAGCGAUCCCGCGUGGAUAAUACACGGGCAUCAAACUGUCAACCGAAGCCGUGGGGUUAGUUAAUGACUAACCGGUAGGAGAGCAUUCCUGCCAGCUUAGAAGGUCACCCGCGAGAGUGACUGGAGCGGCAUGAAAAGCAAAUGUAGGCAUAAGUAACGAUAAUGGGGGCGAGAACCCCCCACGCCGCAAGACCAAGGAUUCCCCGGCAAUGUCAAUCAGCCGGGGGUCAGCCGGCCUCUAAGGCUCACCCGAGGGGGGAUGCCGACGAGAAACGGGUUAACAUUCCCGUGCUUCUCGUCACCGUGACGCGGUGACGGGGUGAUGAAUGGACCGCGCGCUGACGGAAUAGCGCGUUGAAGGCCGUACCCGAUGACGGUGGUAGUCAAGCACGCCACCGGAGGCGAGAGCCGAUAGUACCACGAGACUCCGGUCGAGUGGAUAGCGUCCAGGCAAUUUACCCCCUAGAAAACCCGCUAAACUUCAAGUGACGAGGAACCGUACUGUAAACGGACACACGUGGUCGGGUAGAACAUACCAAGGCGCUCGAGUGAUUCAUGGUCAAGGAACUAGGCAAAAUAGUCCUGUAACUUCGGGAAAAAGGACGCUCUAGUGAUAGAGCCGCAGAGUAAUGGCCCAGGCGACUGUUUACCAAAAACACAUGGCUAUGCCAAAUCGAAAGAUGACGUAUAUGGCCUGACACCUGCCCGGUGCCGGAAGGUUAAGAGGAGAGCUCAUCGGAAACGAGAAGGUUUGAAUUGAAGCCCCGGUAAACGGCGGCCGUAACUAUAACGGUCCUAAGGUAGCGAAAUUCCUUGUCGGGUAAGUUCCGACCCGCACGAAAGG
This 1983-nucleotide ribosomal RNA is filed under the name human gut metagenome. RNAcentral describes it as "bacterial LSU rRNA". It matches the Rfam family "Bacterial large subunit ribosomal RNA", at positions 1 to 1999 of the family's 2925-position model. The record is from RNAcentral.